GAGCUGUCAUUCCGGGCUCCCAGACCGGGAAACUGAGGCUCAGAGGGGACCGGGCUCCGACCAAGGUCACGCCCGAGGUAGCGGCGGCGCUGUGCUCGAACCCGGAACUCGGAUUCCGGAGCUGGCUCUGUGUAAACUCGGAGAACCUCUGUCCAUGGCCAAUGGAUGACCUCAGGCCAAGAAUGCAGUAAGUUGACCUGACGUUGUGAGGUCACAGUCCAUCCAGGGAAGAGCCAGAAGAUGACCAGGACCAUCCCGGGAGGGGCUGAAAAGCUGCCCUCAUGUGUGUGGCCCUGUGCUGCAUCUAUGCAUUCCUCACUCACCUCUACAACUCUCAUGGCACAAGGGAGGAAAUGGGGGUGCAGAGGCUAAGGAACAUGCCCAAAGCUCUACAGCUGGUGUAUUAGUUAUCUACUACUGUGUAAUAAAUUGCCCCAAAACUUAGA
Molecule: non-coding RNA, 446 nt
Organism: Chlorocebus sabaeus (green monkey)
Lineage: Eukaryota; Metazoa; Chordata; Mammalia; Primates; Cercopithecidae
Source: RefSeq, a predicted model, not a curated record